RNAcentral lists this ribosomal RNA (243 nucleotides) under uncultured bacterium. RNAcentral's name for it is "partial 16S ribosomal RNA". It matches the Rfam family "Bacterial small subunit ribosomal RNA", at positions 1257 to 1500 of the family's 1533-position model. The record is from RNAcentral.
GCGAGGUGGAGCAAAUCCCUAAAAGCCAUCCCAGUUCGGAUUGCAGGCUGCAACCCGCCUGUAUGAAGUUGGAAUCGCUAGUAAUCGCGGAUCAGCAUGCCGCGGUGAAUACGUUCCCGGGCCUUGUACACACCGCCCGUCACACCAUGAGAGUCGGGAACACCCGAAGUCCGUAGCCUAACCGCAAGGGGGGCGCGGCCGAAGGUGGGUUCGAUAAUUGGGGUGAAGUCGUAACAAGGUACC